GAUGAACGCUAGCGACAGGCUUAACACAUGCAAGUCGAGGGGCAGCACACGUAGCAAUACCGGGUGGCGACCGGCGCACGGGUGAGUAACGCGUAUGCAACUUGCCUAUCAAAGGGGGAUAACCCGGCGAAAGUCGGACUAAUACCGCAUGAAGCAGGGAUCCCGCAUGGGAAUAUUUGCUAAAGAUUCAUCGCUGAUACAUAGGCAUGCGUUCCAUUAAGCAGUUGGCGGGGUAACCGCCCACCAAACCGACCAUGGAUAGGGGUUCUGAGAGGAAGGUCCCCCACAUUGGUACUGAAACACGGACCAAACUCCUACGGGAGGCAGCAGUGAGGAAUAUUGGUCAAUGGCCGAGAGGCUGAACCAGCCAAGUCGCGUGAGGGAUGAAGGUUCUAUGGAUCGUAAACCUCUUUUAUCACGGAAUAAAGUGCGGAACUUGUCCUAUUUUGUAUGUACCUUAUGAAUAAGGAUCGGCUAACUCCGUGCCAACACCCGCGGUAAUACGGAUGAUCCGAGCGUUAUCCGGAUUUAUGGGUUUAAAGGGUGCGUAGGCGGCCUUUUAAGUCAGCGGUGAAAGUCUGUGGCUCAACCAUAGAAUUGCCGUUGAAACUGGGGGGCUUGAGUAUGUUUGAGGCAGGCGGAAUGCGUGGUGUAGCGGUGAAAUGCAUAGAUAUCACGCAGAACCCCGAUUGCGAAGGCAGCCUGCCAAGCCAUGACUGACGCUGAUGCACGAAAGCGUGGGGAUCAAACAGGAUUAGAUACCCUGGUAGUCCACGCAGUAAACGAUGAUCACUAGCUGUUUGCGAUACACUGUAAGCGGCACAGCGAAAGCGUUAAGUGAUCCACCUGGGGAGUACGCCGGCAACGGUGAAACUCAAAGGAAUUGACGGGGGCCCGCACAAGCGGAGGGACAUGUGGUUUAAUUCGAUGAUACGCGAGGAACCUUACCCGGGUUUGAACGCAUUCGGACCGAGGUGGAAAUACCUUUUCUAGCAAUAGCCGUUUGCGAGGUGCUGCAUGGUUGUCGUCAGCUCGUGCCGUGAGGUGUCGGCUUAAGUGCCAUAACGAGCGCAACCCUUGCCACUAGUUACUAACAGGUAAAGCUGAGGACUCUGGUGGGACUGCCAGCGUAAGCUGCGAGGAAGGCGGGGAUGACGUCAAAUCAGCACGGCCCUUACAUCCGGGGCGACACACGUGUUACAAUGGCGUGGACAAAGGGAAGCCACCUGGCGACAGGGAGCGAAUCCCCAAAACCACGUCUCAGUUCGGAAUCGGAGUUCUGCAAACCCGGACUCCGUGAGGCUGGAUUCGCUAGUAUUCGCGCAUUCAGCCAUGGCGCGGUAAAUACGUUCCCGGGCCU
RNAcentral lists this ribosomal RNA (1360 nucleotides) under uncultured bacterium. Its description in RNAcentral is "bacterial SSU rRNA". It matches the Rfam family "Bacterial small subunit ribosomal RNA", at positions 28 to 1381 of the family's 1533-position model. The record is from RNAcentral.